This 253-nucleotide ribosomal RNA is filed under the name uncultured bacterium. Its description in RNAcentral is "partial 16S ribosomal RNA". It matches the Rfam family "Bacterial small subunit ribosomal RNA", at positions 524 to 776 of the family's 1533-position model. The record is from RNAcentral.
UACGAAGGGGGCGAGCGUUGUUCGGAAUCACUGGGCGUAAAGGGCGCGUAGGCGGCCCUUCUUGUCGCGUGUGAAAGCCCCGGGCUCAACCUGGGAACGGCGCGCGAGACGGGAGGGCUGGAGUUCGGGAGAGGAGCGUGGAAUUCCCAGUGUAGAGGUGAAAUUCGUAGAUAUUGGGAAGAACACCGGUGGCGAAGGCGGCGCUCUGGACCGAGACUGACGCUGAUGCACGAAAGUGUGGGGAUCAAACAGG